CUGGUGCUUGUGAUGAAAAAGGAAAUCCAAUUAUCAAGGACUUCUAUGGCAGCCCGCUUGCCGCAAGUGGUAAGCCUUACGACGAUAUGUUAGUGGCUAAAUUUGAAUGUGUCUAUACUGGUUCUGGUGAUCAAGGUUCCUCCGUGUUUGCAUUUAACAUGGAACAAGGGCUUCCUGUCAUGCCCGAGUGGCUAUUCUUCAACAGAGUGAAUGCUUGGGCAAGAAAAGUUGUUGAAAUUAGUCCUACUCGCCUUCUUUUAAGG
Gossypium arboreum is the source of this 263-nucleotide long non-coding RNA. RefSeq lists it as uncharacterized. The transcript has 3 exons. The record is from RefSeq and is a predicted model, not a curated record. NCBI's taxonomy places the organism in Eukaryota, Viridiplantae, Streptophyta, Magnoliopsida, Malvales, Malvaceae.